GACGAACGCUGGCGGCGUGCUUAACACAUGCAAGUCGAACGGAAAGGCCCUGCUUUUGUGGGGUGCUCGAGUGGCGAACGGGUGAGUAACAAGUGAGUAACCUGCCCUUGACUUUGGGAUAACUUCAGGAAACUGGGGCUAAUACCGGAUAGGAGCUCCUGCUGCAUGGUGGGGGUUGGAAAGUUUCGGCGGUUGGGGAUGGACUCGCGGCUUAUCAGCUUGUUGGUGGGGUAGUGGCUUACCAAGGCUUUGACGGGUAGCCGGCCUGAGAGGGUGACCGGCCAGAUUGGGAGUGAGAUACGGCCCAGACUCCUACGGGAGGCAGCAGUGGGGAAUAUUGCACAAUGGGCGGAAGCCUGAUGCAGCAACGCCGCGUGCGGGAUGACGGCCUUCGGGUUGUAAACCGCUUUCGCCUGUGACGAAGCGUGAGUGACGGUAAUGGGUAAAGAAGCACCGGCGAACUACGU
Molecule: ribosomal RNA, 467 nt
Filed under: uncultured bacterium
Lineage: Bacteria
Description: partial 16S ribosomal RNA
Rfam family: Bacterial small subunit ribosomal RNA
Source: RNAcentral